AGUGAACGCUGGCGGUAGGCCUAACACAUGCAAGUCGAACGGCAGCACAGUAAGAGCUUGCUCUUACGGGUGGCGAGUGGCGGACGGGUGAGGAAUACAUCGGAAUCUACUUUUUCGUGGGGGAUAACGUAGGGAAACUUACGCUAAUACCGCAUACGACCUACGGGUGAAAGCAGGGGAUCUUCGGACCUUGCGCGAUUGAAUGAGCCGAUGUCGGAUUAGCUAGUUGGCGGGGUAAAGGCCCACCAAGGCGACGAUCCGUAGCUGGUCUGAGAGGAUGAUCAGCCACACUGGAACUGAGACACGGUCCAGACUCCUACGGGAGGCAGCAGUGGGGACUAUUGGACACUGGGCGAAAGCCUGAUCCAGCCAUACCGCGUGCGUGCAGAAGGACUUCGGGUUGUAAAGACCUUUUGUUGGGAAAGAAAAGCAGCAGGUUAAUACCCCGCUGUUCUGACGGUACACAAAGAAUAAGCACCGGCUAACUUCGUG
This 492-nucleotide ribosomal RNA is filed under the name uncultured bacterium. Its description in RNAcentral is "partial 16S ribosomal RNA". It matches the Rfam family "Bacterial small subunit ribosomal RNA", at positions 29 to 507 of the family's 1533-position model. The record is from RNAcentral.